UGCCGUAGGUGGUGCGCGGUCGUUUCGGCCCUAGGUAAACGUAACGCUGUCUGAAGAAGCCUCGAGAAGACCCGGACAAGGUGGGGGUUUAUGGGUUUGCAACCUAUGUACUACAUCGUAUUUCUAGUUAUGGCUCCACGACAAAACCCACCUAUAUAACAUCGCGACAUUACUAUGUGUAUCGAAUGUACGAGCCAAUGUCGAUCUACAUACACGUAUAUAGAUGCAACAUAUACACAACGCAAACGUAUAGAUGCAACAUAUGGGUAUUAUAGGUAUGGAUGUAGUUUGUUUGACAUGGCGGCUGACACGAAAGCGAGACGAAGCAGGAAGAUUGUCUGGCAGAAAGUAACAACGUACAGCCUAUUUCCGAAGUAAGCCUUACUCGCCUCUGGCGCGUAUCCUGCGUUGACGCCAAUAUGCUCGUCGUCAUCAAGAGGAGGUGAAAUUGGAGCUCAUUUUUUCCCUCGAAGCUUUCGUAUCUCCAGGACUAAAAGGACAGGAUCGACGAAUGGAGGACGAUCAAGCGACGAUUUUUCCUUUCCGUGAACGGAGUGUUCCUUGUACGCCCUAGGAGACUGUAUAAACGACCGUAAAGCAGUUAUCUCCGACAGAGCCAAUAGAACGAGCUUCCACUAUGAUGAAAGCGAGUUCGGCUAGGCCAGAAGCAGGAAACGAGGAACGUGGUGGAAAUUGAAAAUGGGAUGGACGACUAGGCAUGAGGGACAGAUGGCGGCCCGGAUAUAGGAACAGAACUAAAAGUCUGCGGAAAUUACGUGAUCCGCUUUCAAGCCCCUACAAUUUUCGUGGACGUGACCCACGGAUUUAUUUCCGAAAUCGAUCGCACGGACGUUAAUUAACUGGCUACGUACGCGAACAUCGUAAGACCGGCAAGCCGAGUCCGUUUAUGCUCCUCGAUAUCUCACCUGUGAUUUCUUCGAAGCAGAUUUCCAUUUUUUCGUGAAAUACUUUUCAAAAAGUUGACCAAAAGAUCGAUCGCAUGGCAGAGACUUCGUGUCAACGUCUGCUGCAACCUACCCAAUGACGGAGUUAUGACCUAACACCUUGGAUAAAACACGAUUCUCGGUAUCGUAACAAAACGAGUAUUUCGCCGCUCCCCUUCGCUGUCAAAGGCAAAUCGCAAAGAGGAUUCCACGACGCUUUGUCGCGGCAACAAAGAAGAAAGAGAAAAUACCGUCGAGCAACCAAUAAGUCGUGCACCCUACGGCGGUUGGUACGUUACAUAUAGUAAUCUAAGUUGUGUUUAUGGCUGAAUAUAUAUGCAUAGCAGUCCGGCGAAUCGUGGUGGCGCGAGGAACUCAUUACCCUACGUCGAGGGUAUUAGCAUAUUUAGAGGCAGCUCUCCUUCCUCGUCUCCGCGUUUCCACCUCUUAUCAAACCUCCCUACCCCCGUCUGCUGCUCAUUCCCCAUCCUCCGGCUCUUUCUUCUCCUCUUUUGCCUCGCCCUGCUGUAUCCCCUUUCCUUCGCGUCGAAACUCAGACCCGGUGCAUCCAAUCUCAUCGACCAAAAAAUAACAAAGAAUAAUUCUAGCAUCUUCUUCAAUUUAUUAUUACCAAAUUAUCCGAACUUCGUUUUUCUAUCUUCUUUGUCCUUUCCUUUUUUUUUUCUUUUUUUUUAGAUUAUCGUAAUAAGGAGUUUUUUUUCAAAUAAAUUCUACAGAAUAUAACGAGCAUAAAUUGUAAGCAAAAAAAAAAAAAAAGAGAAAAAACACGAAGGAGGAACGACCUGCCAAAAAGCACGUCUGUGAAUUUUCGUUCCUUCUUAAUUGCGAUUCGACCUCAGGUAUUUGCGGACCAGCGAGAAGGCAUCCGACGAAGAGCGCGUACGAGGAUCCAGUCUCGCGAAUAAAAUUUGUAUCCGCGCCGGUAUGCGCGAAUAAAAGGCGAGACAUCGGACGAGGGGAGGCAGCAGGAUGGCGAGCCGGGCUAAGUAAUUAAGGAAGCUCAUCCUCAGAGACAAUUUAACUUAAUGAGAGUCAGCCAGUUCCACCCUAGCUAUCUCUGCCAACUCCCGCACAUCUCUUUCCAUCCUCCAUCCCCUCUCUAUCUCUUUCUCUUAUUCCAUCUCGAUCCAUCUAGCUUUACCCUCUGUUUUCUCGUUCGUAGUUUCCCCCUUCCGACGCUCGUCCAUCUUGGAAGUAAAAUGUCUACUUUCCAGACGUCCGCC
This is a long non-coding RNA of Bombus huntii, 2188 nucleotides long. RefSeq lists it as uncharacterized. The record is from RefSeq and is a predicted model, not a curated record. NCBI's taxonomy places the organism in Eukaryota, Metazoa, Arthropoda, Insecta, Hymenoptera, Apidae. The transcript is spliced from 5 exons.